GACGAACGCUGGCGGUGUGCUUAACACAUGCAAGUCGAACGGUAAGGCCCUUUCGGGGGUACACGAGUGGCGAACGGGUGAGUAACACGUGAGUAACCUGCCCUCAUCUCUGGGAUAACAGUCGGAAACGGUUGCUAAUACUGGAUAUGAGCUCGCAAGGCAUCUUGUGGGUUGGAAAGAUUUUUUUGGUUGGGGAUGGACUCGCGGCCUAUCAGCUUGUUGGUGAGGUAGUGGAUCACCAAGGCUUCGACGGGUAGCCGGCCUGAGAGGGCGACCGGCCACAUUGGGACUGAGAUACGGCCCAAACUCCUACGGGAGGCAGCAGUGGGGAAUAUUGCACAAUGGACGGAAGUCUGAUGCAGCAACGCCGCGUGCGGGAUGACGGCCUUCGGGUUGUAAACCGCUUUCAAUUGUGACGAAGCUUUUUGUGACGGUAGCAGUAGAAGAAGCACCGGCUAACUACGUG
RNAcentral lists this ribosomal RNA (466 nucleotides) under uncultured bacterium. RNAcentral describes it as "partial 16S ribosomal RNA". It matches the Rfam family "Bacterial small subunit ribosomal RNA", at positions 28 to 507 of the family's 1533-position model. The record is from RNAcentral.